Betta splendens (Siamese fighting fish) is the source of this 870-nucleotide long non-coding RNA. Lineage: Eukaryota; Metazoa; Chordata; Actinopteri; Anabantiformes; Osphronemidae. The record is from Ensembl.
AUGUUGACAGCGGGACUCACAGGUAAACUCAGGAAUGUGCUGGCUAACCUCAACAUGUUUUUCUCGGAUCAGAUGAAGCUGCAGGUUCUGAUUGACCUUAGUCUCAUGUUGGUCUUAGCGUCUGGCUCAAAAGAUCAGGAUUGGAAUAUUACAGUUCCUGAAUCCAUUAAUGCCACGUUGGGCUCAGAUGUGACCAUCAAGUGUACGUUUGACUAUCCAAAGAAAUAUUCCAAUGACAGUGUUCAAGUUUACUGGAAAAUGAAAGUGGCCAGCAACAUUACCAUCAAUGACCAGGACAAAAAUGCAUUCAUUUGUCACACAAAUGACUCGUUUGUGCUUACGGAGUACAGAAGAAGGACCCACCUCAUCAGAGAUGAAUCCAAUAAAAGUUGCUCCGUGAAGAUUCUGAAUGUCAGGCAUAACAUAAGUGACAUCUAUGUGAGAAUUGUCCUAACGACUGAAAAGUACAGUUUCAAAAAACACCUUGUUUCCAUUUUUGUGCUAGAUGAAGAUUCUUCGCCAACGUUGUAUGUGGUUGCCGCUGUACCAGCUUCUGCUGUCCUGAUCAUUAUUAUUAUUGUCUCUGGGUGUUUGUGCUACAGAAAACGCAGAAGGUCAAAGUCCAUCACCAGGGAGGAAUCUGGGUAUUAUGCCAAUUUUAGCAGAGCACCAUCAAACCCAGUCCAUAGUGAGGCAACGUGCAAAACACAUGACAACAGGAAACACCCGGAACCGAAGGUCAUAGAUGAAUCUGUGUACGUCAACACUGAGGUAAAACGCGUUUACCCACACAUCUCUUUACAGCAGAAGAUACCGUCUAAUCGCAUCUCCCUUUUCAGGCCAUUACAGCUCAGAUGGGUCAACGUCUAG